GUGGUAUUAGUCUAGUGGUUAGGACUUCACGUUGUGGCCGUGACACCCCAGGUUCGAAUCCUGGAUACCACA
Transfer RNA from Vitrella brassicaformis, 72 nucleotides. It matches the Rfam family "tRNA". From Rfam's summary of the family: Transfer RNA (tRNA) molecules are approximately 80 nucleotides in length. Their secondary structure includes four short double-helical elements and three loops (D, anti-codon, and T loops). Further hydrogen bonds mediate the characteristic L-shaped molecular structure. tRNAs have two regions of fundamental functional importance: the anti-codon, which is responsible for specific mRNA codon recognition, and the 3' end, to which the tRNAs corresponding amino acid is attached (by aminoacyl-tRNA synthetases). tRNAs cope with the degeneracy of the genetic code in two manners: having more than one tRNA (with a specific anti-codon) for a particular amino acid; and 'wobble' base-pairing, i.e. permitting non-standard base-pairing at the 3rd anti-codon position. The record is from Rfam. NCBI's taxonomy places the organism in Eukaryota, Vitrellaceae.